RNAcentral lists this ribosomal RNA (392 nucleotides) under uncultured bacterium. Its description in RNAcentral is "partial 16S ribosomal RNA". It matches the Rfam family "Bacterial small subunit ribosomal RNA", at positions 523 to 918 of the family's 1533-position model. The record is from RNAcentral.
AUACGGAGGACGCGAGCGUUAUCCGGAUUUAUUGGGUUUAAAGGGAGCGCAGGCGGAGAUGCAAGCGUGACGUCAAAUUUCGGGGCUCAACCCCGUCUCGCGUCGCGAACUGAGUCCCUUGGUUGCGGGAAGGGGAGGCGGAACUCGUGGUGUAGCGGUGAAAUGCAUAGAUAUCACAAGAACUCCGAUCGCGAAGGCAGCCUUCCGGCCCGUCAACGACGCUCAUGCUCGAAGGUGCGGGUAUCAAACAGGAUUAGAUACCCUGGUAGUCCGCACAGUAAACGAUGGACACCCGCGGUUUGGCCUGUAUGGCUGAGCCGCCAAGCGAAAGCGUUAAGUGUCCCACCUGGGGAGUACGCCGGCAACGGUGAAACUCAAAGGAAUUGGCGGGG